AAGGUUGUUCCAACAAGUCCGAUACAGUCAUGAUAGAACAAUAUUGUUACAACCUUGUGUCGUCAACCUUGUAACAUUCUUGUUAUAUCAUGACUGUAUCAGACUUGUUGGAACAAUUUU
This 120-nucleotide microRNA precursor is filed under the name Paramuricea clavata. The record is from RNAcentral. Lineage: Eukaryota; Metazoa; Cnidaria; Anthozoa; Malacalcyonacea; Plexauridae.